This 440-nucleotide ribosomal RNA is filed under the name uncultured bacterium. RNAcentral's name for it is "partial 16S ribosomal RNA". It matches the Rfam family "Bacterial small subunit ribosomal RNA", at positions 338 to 795 of the family's 1533-position model. The record is from RNAcentral.
CCUACGGGAGGCAGCAGUGGGGAAUAUUGCACAAUGGGGGAAACCCUGAUGCAGCGACGCCGCGUGAGUGAAGAAGUAAUUCGUUAUGUAAAGCUCUAUCAGCAGGGAAGAAAAUGACGGUACCUGAGUAAGAAGCCCCGGCUAACUACGUGCCAGCAGCCGCGGUAAUACGUAGGGGGCAAGCGUUAUCCGGAUUUACUGGGUGUAAAGGGAGCGUAGACGGCAGUGCAAGUCUGGAGUGAAAGGCGGGGGCUAAACCCCCGGACUGCUCUGGAAACUGUACGGCUGGAGUGCAGGAGAGGUAAGUGGAAUGCCUAGUGUAGCGGUGAAAUGCGGAGAUAUUAGGAGGAACACCAGUGGCGAAGGCGGCUUACUGGACUGUAACUGACGUUGAGGCUCGAAAGCGUGGGGAGCAAACAGGAUUAGAUACCCGGGUAGUC